RNAcentral lists this non-coding RNA (45 nucleotides) under Schistosoma mansoni. Lineage: Eukaryota; Metazoa; Platyhelminthes; Trematoda; Strigeidida; Schistosomatidae. The record is from RNAcentral.
AUCCAGCUGACGAGUCACAAAUAGGACGAAACGCGCGUUCUGGAU